This 430-nucleotide ribosomal RNA is filed under the name uncultured bacterium. RNAcentral's name for it is "partial 16S ribosomal RNA". It matches the Rfam family "Bacterial small subunit ribosomal RNA", at positions 29 to 507 of the family's 1533-position model. The record is from RNAcentral.
ACGAACGCUGGCGGCAGGCCUAACACAUGCAAGUCGAGCGCCCUUUCGGGGGAGCGGCGGACGGGUGAGUAACGCGUGGGAAUAUGCCCUUCUCUACGGAAUAGCCUCGGGAAGCUGAGAGUAAUACCGUAUACGCCCUUUGGGGGAAAGAUUUAUCGGGGAAGGAUUAGCCCGCGUUGGAUUAGGUAGUUGGUGGGGUAAUGGCCUACCAAGCCGACGAUCCAUAGCUGGUUUGAGAGGAUGAUCAGCCACACUGGGACUGAGACACGGCCCAGACUCCUACGGGAGGCAGCAGUGGGGAAUCUUAGACAAUGGGGGCAACCCUGAUCUAGCCAUGCCGCGUGAGUGAUGAAGGCCUUAGGGUUGUAAAGCUCUUUCAGCUGGGAAGAUAAUGACGGUACCAGCAGAAGAAGCCCCGGCUAACUCCGUG